CUACGGAGGGUGCGAGCGUUAAUCGGAAUUACUGGGCGUAAAGCGCGCGUAGGCGGCUUAUUAAGUCAGAUGUGAAAUCCCCGGGCUCAACCUGGGAACUGCAUCUGAUACUGGUAAGCUAGAGUUUUGGAGAGGGAAGUAGAAUUUCAGGUGUAGCGGUGAAAUGCAUAGAGAUCUGAAGGAAUACCAGUGGCGAAGGCGACUUCCUGGCCAAAAACUGACGCUGAGGUGCGAAAGCGUGGGUAGCAAACGGGAUUAGAAACCCUUGUAGUCC
This 274-nucleotide ribosomal RNA is filed under the name uncultured bacterium. RNAcentral describes it as "partial 16S ribosomal RNA". It matches the Rfam family "Bacterial small subunit ribosomal RNA", at positions 523 to 796 of the family's 1533-position model. The record is from RNAcentral.